Long non-coding RNA from Salvelinus sp. IW2-2015, 387 nucleotides. RefSeq lists it as uncharacterized. The record is from RefSeq and is a predicted model, not a curated record. Lineage: Eukaryota; Metazoa; Chordata; Actinopteri; Salmoniformes; Salmonidae.
UCACAGUAUUUCAUUUGUAGCAGAGAGAAUGGAUAUCCUCUCAUAUAACAUUUUUAAUUAUAUAACAUCUCAGUUGGUUCUAAGGUUCCUUUCUAAUUCUUUCUAAUCUUUCUUUUCAGGGCUUUUUCGGUGUUCACACAGACCUGAUUCACAAGUAUGGGAGAGUAUGUGGAUACUAUCUAGGCAGGAGGCCCGUGGUGGUGGUAGCUGACCCUGAUAUGCUCAGACAGAUCAUGGUGAAGGACUUCAGCACCUUCCCCAACAGAAUGACAAUCCGUGCCGCUACUAAGCCCAUGAGUGACUGUCUGCUGAUGCUGAGGAACGAGCACUGGAAGAGAGUACGCAGCAUCCUCACCCCCUCCUUCAGUGCAGCCAAGAUGAAAGAGG